GCAAACUUGGUCAUUUAGAGGAAGUAAAAGUCGUAACAAGGUUUCCGUAGGUGAACCUGCGGAAGGAUCAUUAUUGAGUUGAUUGCGAGGCCCAUUUCUGCAAAGGAGUGUGGCUCUUGCUUUUAUCUUUUCCACCCUUUUUGUUAUUAUUUUCCUAGUUGCUUUGGCAGACUGCUUUUUUGCAGGCUGUCAAGGGUUUUACUAUAACCUCAUUUUUAUCCUACAAUUGGAUCUCUUUAGUCUGAUUUAUUACUUUUAAUAAGAAAUAAAACUUUUAACAAUGGAUCUCUUGGUUCUGGCAUCGAUGAAGAACGCAGC
This 318-nucleotide unclassified non-coding RNA is filed under the name uncultured fungus. RNAcentral describes it as "partial contains small subunit ribosomal RNA, internal transcribed spacer 1, and 5.8S ribosomal RNA". The stretch from base 1 to 73 matches the Rfam family "Eukaryotic small subunit ribosomal RNA", at positions 1759 to 1831 of the family's 1831-position model. The record is from RNAcentral. Lineage: Eukaryota; Fungi.